RNAcentral lists this ribosomal RNA (371 nucleotides) under uncultured bacterium. RNAcentral describes it as "partial 16S ribosomal RNA". It matches the Rfam family "Bacterial small subunit ribosomal RNA", at positions 338 to 706 of the family's 1533-position model. The record is from RNAcentral.
CCUACGGGUGGCAGCAGUGAGGAAUAUUGGUCAAUGGCCGUAAGGCUGAACCAGCCAAGUAGCGUGAGGGAAGACUGCCCUAUGGGUUGUAAACCUCUUUUAUGCGGGGAUAAAGGCGACCACGUGUGGAUGUUUGCAGGUACCGCAUGAAUAAGGACCGGCUAAUUCCGUGCCAGCAGCCGCGGUAAUACGGAAGGUCCGGGCGUUAUCCGGAUUUAUUGGGUUUAAAGGGAGCGUAGGCUGGUCGUUAAGCGUGCCGUGAAAUGUUGUGGCUCAACCAUGGGAGUGCGGCGCAAACUGGAGACCUGGAGUGUGCGGAAGGAAGGCGGAAUUCGUGGUGUAGCGGUGAAAUGCGUAGAUAUCACGAAGAA